GCUCCUGACGGUCACCCUGAUAGGCAAGGUUGUGUGUAUUCCACCGAACAUCUGAGGGUCCUGCCUCCUCCCCAGAGGAAUAAGAAGUGAGAAGCAAAUCCACACAGUCAGAAGAAAGUGCAGCUAUUUCCGAUGCAGCCAGCUAUGUCAGAAAAAUCCUUCGGGACUUGAACUGAAGAGACUCUCUCCAUGCAGAGAAGUCGUAAGAGUGAACACCAUCUAUCCAAAGUGGGAAGAGAGUCAUCUUAAUUUGUCUGACCAGAACAAGCCCUGGGAAGUAAAUUUUCUCUGUGCCCCAAC
Molecule: non-coding RNA, 300 nt
Organism: Heterocephalus glaber (naked mole-rat)
Lineage: Eukaryota; Metazoa; Chordata; Mammalia; Rodentia; Bathyergidae
Source: RefSeq, a predicted model, not a curated record